Molecule: ribosomal RNA, 316 nt
Filed under: uncultured eukaryote
Lineage: Eukaryota
Description: partial 18S ribosomal RNA
Rfam family: Eukaryotic small subunit ribosomal RNA
Source: RNAcentral
CCCUUAGAUGUUCUGGGCCGCACGCGUGCUACACUGACCGGCGCAACAAGUUUCUUUCCUUGGCUCGAUAGGCCUGGGUAAUCUUUGAACGCCGGUCGUGAUGGGGAUAGAUCCUUGCAAUUUUUGAUCUUCAACGAGGAAUUCCUAGUAAAUGCGAGUCAUCAUCUCGCGUUGAUUACGUCCCUGCCCUUUGUACACACCGCCCGUCGCACCUACCGAUUGAAUGGUCCGGUGAAGCCUCGGGAUUGCGAAUGCUUCGUGCGGACGCGAGAACUUGGCUAAACCUUACCAUUUAGAGGAAAGUGAAGUCGUAACA